AUAAAGUCGAUGAACAAGACGAGUACCUGUUUUACUGACAUCACAGAGAGCCGGAGCUGGUGGAAUCCGGUAUGGAAGGGAUAGGGAAUGGACUUGCAAGACGCAGGGUGAAAGAUGAAGCUUUAUAUUGAGUUUUUGAGUAGCCUGUGCCGUAUGACCCGCGUUAAGGGCAAGAGGGAUUCCAAUAAGACGUGAUGGCGCAUGGAGUCUGAAUUAGGGUGGUACCACGAACAAUUCGUCCCUGGC
Molecule: non-coding RNA, 246 nt
Filed under: [Bacteroides] pectinophilus
Lineage: Bacteria; Bacillati; Bacillota; Clostridia; Eubacteriales
Description: Bacteroides pectinophilus T-box sequence
Rfam family: T-box leader
About the family: Uncharged tRNA acts as the effector for transcription antitermination of genes in the T-box leader family. T-boxes are found upstream of many aminoacyl-tRNA synthetase genes and some amino acid biosynthetic genes usually in Gram-positive bacteria. The anticodon of a specific tRNA base pairs to a specifier sequence within the T-box motif, and the NCCA acceptor tail of the tRNA base pairs to a conserved bulge in the T-box antiterminator hairpin.
Source: RNAcentral